CAGAACGAACGCUGGCGGCGUGCUAACACAUGCAAGUCGAACGCGAAAGGGACUUCGGUCCUGAGUAAAGUGGCGCACGGGUGAGUAACGCGUAGAUAACCUGUCUUCAUGUCUGGAAUAAUACGCCGAAAGGGGUACUAAUACCGGAUAUUCUUGCUUUUCAUAAGUUAUGCAAGCAAAGGUGGCCUCUGCAUAUGCUACUGCAUGAAGAGGGGUCUGCGUACCAUUAGCUAGUAGGUGGGGUAAUGGCCUACCUAGGCGACGAUGGUUAGCGGGUCUGAGAGGAUGAUCCGCCACACUGGCACUGGAACACGGGCCAGACUCCUACGGGAGGCAGCAGUGAGGAAUAUUGCGCAAUGGGGGAAACCCUGACGCAGCGACGCCGCGUGAGUGAGGAAGGCCUUCGGGUCGUAAAGCUCUGUCAAGAGGAAAGAAGUGUACAAUGGCUAAUACCCGUUGUAUUUGACGGUACCUCUAAAGGAAGCACCGGCUAACUCCGUGCCAGCCGCAGC
This 512-nucleotide ribosomal RNA is filed under the name uncultured bacterium. Its description in RNAcentral is "bacterial SSU rRNA". It matches the Rfam family "Bacterial small subunit ribosomal RNA", at positions 25 to 518 of the family's 1533-position model. The record is from RNAcentral.